Molecule: ribosomal RNA, 126 nt
Filed under: Saimiri boliviensis boliviensis (Bolivian squirrel monkey)
Lineage: Eukaryota; Metazoa; Chordata; Mammalia; Primates; Cebidae
Source: RNAcentral
AUCUACGGCCAUACCACCCUUAAGGCGCCCAAUCUCCUCUGAUCUUGGAGGCUAAGCAGGGUCGGGCCUGGUUAGUACUUGGACGGGAGAAGACUUUGUUCUGGAAGAUGCUGGUUAUUGUAAUUU